Molecule: ribosomal RNA, 586 nt
Filed under: Helvella acetabulum
Lineage: Eukaryota; Fungi; Ascomycota; Pezizomycetes; Pezizales; Helvellaceae
Description: partial large subunit ribosomal RNA
Rfam family: Eukaryotic large subunit ribosomal RNA
Source: RNAcentral
GGAUUGCCCCAGUAACGGCGAGUGAAGCGGCAUCAGCUCAAAUUUGAAAUCUGGGGCCCCAGGCCUCCGAGUUGUAAUUUGGAGAGGCAUCUUCGGGGAGGGGGCGCGGGCCCAUGUUCCUUGGAACAGGACGUCGCAGAGGGUGAGAAUCCCGUGCCAGGCCGGCUGCCUCCGCCCCAGUGAAGGGCCUUCGACGAGUCGAGUUGUUUGGGAAUGCAGCUCCAAGUGGGUGGUAAAUUUCAUCUAAAGCUAAAUACCGGCGGGAGACCGAUAGCGCACAAGUAGAGUGAUCGAAAGAUGAAAAGCACUUUGAAAAUAGAGUCAAAAAGUACGUGAAAUUGUUGAAAGGGAAGCGCUUGAGACCAGACUCGGACCCGGGCAAACAUCGCGCCCCCCGGGGCCGUGCAAUUGCCUGGGGCCGGGCCAGCAUCGGUUGGCGUGGCGGGACAAAGGCGCGGGGAAUGUGGCUCCCCUCGGGGAGUGUUAUUAGGCCCGCGUCCAAUGCCGCCUACGCCGACUGAGGACCGCGCCGCCCGGCUAGGAUGCUGGCUUAAUGGCCUUCAGCGACCCGUCUUGAAACACGGAC